This 253-nucleotide ribosomal RNA is filed under the name uncultured bacterium. Its description in RNAcentral is "partial 16S ribosomal RNA". It matches the Rfam family "Bacterial small subunit ribosomal RNA", at positions 524 to 776 of the family's 1533-position model. The record is from RNAcentral.
UACGUAGGGGGCAAGCGUUGUCCGGAAUCAUUGGGCGUAAAGAGCGCGUAGGCGGCCCAGUCAGUCCGCUCUGAAAGUCAGGGGCUCAACCCCUGAAUGCGGGUGGAUACUGCUGGGCUAGAGUCCGGAAGAGGCGAGUGGAAUUCCUGGUGUAGCGGUGAAAUGCGCAGAUAUCAGGAGGAACACCGAUGGCGAAGGCAGCUCGCUGGGACGGUACUGACGCUGAGGCGCGAAAGCGCGGGGAGCAAACAGG